Molecule: ribosomal RNA, 497 nt
Filed under: uncultured bacterium
Lineage: Bacteria
Description: partial 16S ribosomal RNA
Rfam family: Bacterial small subunit ribosomal RNA
Source: RNAcentral
GAUGAACGCUGGCGGCGUGCCUAAUACAUGCAAGUCGAGCGAACAGACGACAAGCUUGCUCCUCUGACGUUAGCGGCGGACGGGUGAGUAACACGUGGAUAACCUACCUAUAAGACUGGGAUAACUUCGGGAAACCGGAGCUAAUACCGGAUAAUAUAUUUAAGCGCAUGGUUCAAUAGUGAAAGACGGUGUUUCUGUCACUUAUCGAUGGAUCCGCGCUGCAUUAGCUAGUUGGUAAGGUAACGGCUUACGAAGGCGACGAUGCGUAGCCGACCUGAGAGGCGGAUCGGCGACCCUGGAACUGAGCCACGGUCCCGACUACUACGGGAGGCAGCAGUAGGGAAUCUGCCGCAAUAGGCGAAAGCCUGACGGAGCAACGCAGAGUGAGAGAUGAAGGUCCUCGGAUCGUAAAACUCUGUUAUUAGGGAAGAACAAAUGUGUAAGUAACUAUGCACGUAUUGACGGUACCUAAUCAGAAAGCCACGGCUAACUACGUG